Molecule: ribosomal RNA, 463 nt
Filed under: uncultured Erysipelothrix sp.
Lineage: Bacteria; Bacillati; Bacillota; Erysipelotrichia; Erysipelotrichales; Erysipelotrichaceae
Description: bacterial SSU rRNA
Rfam family: Bacterial small subunit ribosomal RNA
Source: RNAcentral
GACGGACCCGCACAAGCGGUGGAUUAUGUUGUUUAAUUCGACGCAACGCGAGGAACCUUACCAGGCCUUGACAUACUCGGCAAAGCUCUAGAGAUAGAGUGGAGGUUAUCCGGGAUACAGGUGGUGCAUGGUUGUCGUCAGCUCGUGUCGUGAGAUGUUGGGUUAAGUCCCGCAACGAGCGCAACCCUUGUCUUUAGUUACCAUCAUUCAGUUGGGCACUCUAAAGAGACUGCCGGUGUCAAACCGGAGGAAGGUGGGGAUGACGUCAAGUCCUCAUGGCCUUUAUAUCCUGGGCUACACACACGCUACAAUGGCAGAUACAAUAGGUUGCGAAACCGCGAGGUGGAGCCAAUCCUCAAAGUCUGUCUCAGUUCAGAUUGUAGGCUGCAACUCGCCUGCAUGAAGUUGGAGUUGCUAGUAAACGCAGGUCAGCUAUACUGCGUUGAAUACGUUCCCGGGCCUU